GUUCCCUCCUAUCCCGGAGCCAUCGCGCUCUCUCUCACUCUCUCUCUCUCUCUCUCUCUCUCAAACCUUCGACAUUAUUGGAUCUCUUGAGCUCCAUUAAGCUCGAUCUCGAGGUAUUCCAACUCCCACUCACCAUUCUCUCGUCCCCUUCCCUUUCCUCAGCUGAAUCGCGCGAGCACAUGAUCGAUCUCUCCCCCGAUCUCGCUUUAAUUUCGUAAAGUUUGGCUUCUUUGGUCGCAAAUUGAUGCAUCGGAGUGGUAAAUGGCGAAGCAGGGAGAAAUCUCAACACCCGAACGGCGAAGGGUUCAUUCAGUUUAUGAAACAAACGAGUGAUUCAGAGGUGCAGUUGGACUCGUCCUGUCGCAGCGGAUCUUCGAUGGAAGGAAAUUCUUUUACUCCUGAGUUUAGGCGACAAACAACUAGAAAAGAUAAAGAGAUGCCAAUGAAAACUCCAGGAGAUGAACCAGCCUCGAAAGAGGCAGAGAUUACCCCUCCGCCACCGAGUCUUAUUGCAAGAUUGAUGGGCCUUGAUAGCUUGCCUCCUACUCGGAAAGUCCGUAAUCAACAGAGUAAUACAGGAAAUUAUUCGCAAUCGGUAACACCAGUUGGUUUUGAAAGAAAGAAUGUGUUUCAUGAAGAUCAUUCACAUCAGAGAAGCAGUGAUGAGCAUACGGAAUUCAAAGAUGUUUUUGAAGUCAAUGAAACUCCAAAAUUUAAGAAGCACAAGAAUCAUAAAGUUAAGAAAGUGGCACUUAGCUCUGAAAAAGCUAACAAAGUUGACAUCAACUUUGUCAAGCAGAAAUUCCUGGAUGCAAAGCGUCUCUCUACUGAUGAAGUGCUUCAAAACUCUAAAGAAUUCAAUGAUGCGCUUGAAAUACUUGAAACGAAUAAGGACCUAUUUUUGGAAUUUCUCCAGGAACCCAAUUCUCUUUUCUCAAAGAGCCUCCAGGAUCUGAAUUAUUCUCCACACUCUGAUGCAAGCCACAUCACAAUUUUAAAACCCUCUAAAGGUAGAAAUGCAGAGAUGAGCUCCAUAUUGAGGAGAGAUUAUGAAAGGUGUGCUCAUAUGUCAAGUGAAGUUAGUGACCCCUCUCGAAAACACACAAAUAUUCCUAUCAGCCACUCUCUGAAGGAACACAGUGGCUAUCUUCGUGUGGGCAAGGCUGAGUCUUGCAUUAAUCCUACUAGGAUUGUUGUGCUAAAACCAAGCAUUGAGAAAGCUAAAAAUGUGGGAGAUGUUUCAUCAGGCCAUGAAGGAUUUCCAUUUGGUUACAAAAGACCCAUGGAAUUUUCAGUGUCUCAAAACGAGAGAUUAUCUGCAGAAGAAAAUACACGAUCAAAGUUGUCCGGAACUAUGGAUGUUUGGGGGCCUGAGACAAAGGCUUCAAGAAAUACUCCCAAAGAGAUCACAGCACAAAUGCAGGAAACUGUGACUGUUAGAACUAGAAGGAUAAUUGAAUCAGAGUGCAAUUCAUACGUUGGGAGUGAAAGGUCAAGAUCUUCCAGCCUACACGAUGAUCGGAACAAAAGAUUCAGCUCGUCAUCAACUCAUUCAACUGAAUCAUCAGUGAGCAGAGAAGCUAGGAAGCGCCUAUCUGAAAGAUGGAAGAUCACCAACCGAUUUCACAAAGGGGGUUCUCUUCCUAGUGGCUCGAGCACGCUAGGUGAAAUUCUCGCUCUAUCAGAUGGAGAAGCACAAAAUCCUGCUUUGCGUCAAAUGGUUAAUCAGAAUAUUUCAGAUGACAAAUUACUUAGAGAUGAGGUGCCAGGUACAUUGGAUUACCCUCUAGGUAUUAGUAGUAAGGAUGGGUGGAAGGUUGGGAGAUCCGGAAUAGCAAGGUCGAAAUCUCUCCCAGCUUCAUCUACCCUACAUGAAAGCUCAAAACCCAGAAAUAGAAAGAGAGCUGGUCAAAAUGGUGACUUUUACAUUCUUAAAGAUGUGCUCAAUAUGGGAGCUGAUGAUUCUGCAGUUGGACAGACUAGCAGGCGAGGAAGGUCACGUACCAGUAUCGGAAAGUAUAACGGUGACAAAAUUCCAUCAAUUUGUUCUGGUGGAGAGGAAAGUAUGCUACCAGAAAGAGAGAUUCAUGUGAACUCAGAGGAGUUGAGAAAAAGUAUCCCUGCAAGCAAUCUUGCAGAAGAGAUACCACUAAAUCCUGCACUUUCUGAUGAUGCUACUAAUGUAGGGAAUGACCUCAUUGACAGUUGCAUAGCGACCGAUAGCCAAGAUGUGAGACAUGCUUGCCCAACUCAAGAGGAAAACAUACAACAACAGUCGACAUCAGCAGUACUAAUGAAGGAUGAAAAUAUCUUAAUGCUUAAUCAGGAUGAUAUGGUGAUACAGGCGGCCCAAAUCGACCAUCCUCAAGUUGAUGUCAUUUCAUCCCCCUGCCAUAUAGUAGAAUCUGCUUCUCUCCUUGGCUCCAAGGAGGGUGAACAGCCAAGUCCUAUUUCUGUUCUAGAGCCUCCACUGGAAGAAGAGACUUCUUGUUCAUCAUGCUUUGACAAAAUUAGUGCGGAUCUCAAAGAGCUCCGAAUGCAACUUCAACUUCUGAAGAUGGAGUCAGAAAAUAGCGAUGCAGAAGAAUCAGAACUUCUCACAGUAAAUGAUGAGGACAACAUAGGCGAUAUUCACACUAGUCCAUCAACAGGAGAGUUACCUGAGGCUUUAGACGAUCAGGAAAGGGACUUUUCUUACUUAGUGGACAUGCUCGUUGAUUUCAAUAUCCAUCAUGCCAACCGAGAUGAGCUAUUGGGUUCCUGCUUCUCGAGCGAUUCACCAUUGAGCCUGGAUGUGUUUGAAAAGCUUGAAAAGAAGUACAACAAGAUGAUUCAGUGGGCAAGAUCGGAGAGGAAGCUUUUAUUUGAUCUUGCAAAUUCUAUUUUGGCAGAUGUGAUUUCCUCGAGCCGGUGUCGACCCAAGCGGGCCAGAGGCCAUUUUGUUGAAGAGGUUUGGCAAAUGGUGGUCAGGCAAAGAAGACAGCCGCAUUGCACUCAGGAGAUAGACCUUGAAACAAAGUGGUUAGGUUUGGGAGGCGGCGUCGACACUGUGGGUGAGGAGAUAGAGAAAAUUAUAUUUGAUCACCUUAUGAAGGAGCUUGUUGUGGAGUUCAUAAAAGUCGACUAGAUAUUGCUGAGAAGCGGGAUCAUCUGUUCUCUCAUAGUUCUUUGGUGGCCUCUACUGCCAGAUUAAGAAGGCUCAUCGCAAGUUCCAUGGAAUCUUCUUCUAAAGAAAUGUUUCGGUCAUUAUUGUACAUCAUCAGCUUAUAGCAGCAGCUCACGCCUAAUUCUAGGGGGGGGUUAACCACCAGGUUCCUUACAUGUGAUUUGAUACGCUUAUUGAGGAUCCCUACAUGCCUUUUCCUCUUCCCCUCGUACACAAUCCUAAUAACACACUGAUGAUACGCUGAGCAAUCGGGAUAAGAUCGUAUAAGAUCGUAUCAUCGGAAUAGAGUGUUGAGAAAGAUGGCCGGUCAUGGUUCCUUCCACGCCUUCUUCCGGGCUCUUCUGGCCUUCGUACUUGUAAUGUCGUUAUGCUGCUCCUCCGAUUCGGCCGCCCGGCCGAUUCAUGAGCCCGCGUCUCAGCGUUUCGGAUUGCCGCCGUUCUCGCACGGAGUCCGAGGCGCGGGGUUUAGGUUCCCGCGGCUGCCGCGGGGUCCUGUCCCUCCGAUGGGUCCUUCGAUCGGGGUGCUUCCAUCACCGCCGCCGCCGCCCACCCCGUUUUCAUCGUUCUCGCACGGAGUCGAUGGAUCACAUAGGUUCCCGAUGCUGCCGAAGGGCUCGGUGCCUCCGUCCGGCCCUUCGAAAGGGGAGCAUGGGCCGCCGCCACCGCCCACCCCGUUUUCAUCGUUCUCGCACAUAGUCGAUGGAUCACAUAGGUUCCCGAUGCUGCCGAAGGGCCUGGUGCCUCCGUCCGGCCCUUCGAAAGGGGAGCAUGGACCGCCGCCACCGCCCACCCCGUUUUCAUCGUUCUCGCACGUAGUCGAUGGAUCACAUAGGUUCCCGAUGCUGCCGAAGGGCCCGGUGCCUCCGUCCGGCCCUUCGAAAGGGGAGCAUUGGUCGCCGCCGCCACCGGCGCCAAAUAGCUUGUUUUGAAUAUCUUAGCACAGGGAGUUCACUUACGAAACACUCGUAUUAUGAAUAAAGACUAUGUUUUGACUCUUC
This is an RNA transcript of Ananas comosus (pineapple), 4164 nucleotides long. RefSeq lists it as uncharacterized. The record is from RefSeq and is a predicted model, not a curated record. The transcript has 7 exons. NCBI's taxonomy places the organism in Eukaryota, Viridiplantae, Streptophyta, Magnoliopsida, Poales, Bromeliaceae.